RNAcentral lists this ribosomal RNA (513 nucleotides) under Arcleda fusca. RNAcentral describes it as "partial 16S ribosomal RNA". It matches the Rfam family "Bacterial large subunit ribosomal RNA", at positions 1828 to 2600 of the family's 2925-position model. RNAcentral also lists the same sequence under 1 other name. Lineage: Eukaryota; Metazoa; Arthropoda; Insecta; Hemiptera; Rhyparochromidae. The record is from RNAcentral.
GGUUUGUUGUUUUAUUUAUAUUAGAUUUGACCUGCUCAGUGAUUAUUAUUAAACAGCCGCAGUAUAUUGACUGUGCAAAGGUAGCGUAAUAACUUGUCCCUUAAUUAGGGUCUUGUAUGAAUGGUUGGACGAGAUAUAAUCUUUCUUUGACUCAAUUUUAUGAAUUUAAUAUUUUAGUGAAAAAGCUGAAAUGUUUUUGUGGGACGAGAAGACCCUAUAGAAUUUUAUUUUUACAUCAAGGUUUUAUUUUUUUAAGUUUUUAAUUUUUGUGUAAAGAUUUGGUUGGGGUGAUUUUGGAAUUUAUUUAACUUCCAUUAUUUUUGUUCAUGGAUUAAUGUUUAAUUGUUGAUCCUUUAUUAUGGAUUAUUAGACAAAAUUACCUUAGGGAUAACAGCGUAAUUUUUUCGGAGAGUUCUUAUUGAUGAAAAGGUUUGCGACCUCGAUGUUGGAUUAAAGAUAGCUUUGGGUGCAGAAGCUCAGGAGUUAGGUCUGUUCGACCUUUAAAUCUUUACA